This 71-nucleotide transfer RNA is filed under the name Cordylochernes scorpioides. RNAcentral describes it as "tRNA-Gly". It matches the Rfam family "tRNA". From Rfam's summary of the family: Transfer RNA (tRNA) molecules are approximately 80 nucleotides in length. Their secondary structure includes four short double-helical elements and three loops (D, anti-codon, and T loops). Further hydrogen bonds mediate the characteristic L-shaped molecular structure. tRNAs have two regions of fundamental functional importance: the anti-codon, which is responsible for specific mRNA codon recognition, and the 3' end, to which the tRNAs corresponding amino acid is attached (by aminoacyl-tRNA synthetases). tRNAs cope with the degeneracy of the genetic code in two manners: having more than one tRNA (with a specific anti-codon) for a particular amino acid; and 'wobble' base-pairing, i.e. permitting non-standard base-pairing at the 3rd anti-codon position. The record is from RNAcentral. Lineage: Eukaryota; Metazoa; Arthropoda; Arachnida; Pseudoscorpiones; Chernetidae.
CCAUCGGUGGUUCAGUGGUAAAAUGCUCGCCUGCCACGCGGCCGGCCCGGAUUCGAUUCCCGGCCGAUGCA